Pungitius pungitius (ninespine stickleback) is the source of this 357-nucleotide long non-coding RNA. RefSeq lists it as uncharacterized. The transcript is spliced from 3 exons. The record is from RefSeq and is a predicted model, not a curated record. NCBI's taxonomy places the organism in Eukaryota, Metazoa, Chordata, Actinopteri, Perciformes, Gasterosteidae.
CGGCCCUGUGUUCCACAGCAGGGCCUUGUAUGUGUGUAUGUGCAUUUGUUGUUGAAGUUGCUUGUGUGUGUGUGUCUCCUCUUAAUUGACAGGAUUUACCACCCCCCCCCUGAUUGGCUGCGGACCCAGGAUCGUUAGUGGCUGCACCUGGUUGGAGCUCAAAAAGCCACAGUCUUGAGGCCCCUGGGCGCUCGCUCUCUGGCUCUGCCUCGACAUGUACUAUUGGGGAAGGGAGCCGUUGUGGCUAGACUAGAGGCCCAUGGGCAUACAUCACCCGCAGCCCUGGUUGGUGACACACUUGGACCUUGAACAGCGGCGUGUCAGCAGUCCCCUCCCUUCUAGGGAGCAGGCGUAACA